Ceratotherium simum simum (southern white rhinoceros) is the source of this 129-nucleotide non-coding RNA. NCBI's taxonomy places the organism in Eukaryota, Metazoa, Chordata, Mammalia, Perissodactyla, Rhinocerotidae. The record is from RefSeq and is a predicted model, not a curated record.
UUUUCUUUUCUUGUGAUGUCUUUGUCUGGCUUUGAUAUCAGGGUAAUGGUGGCCUCAUAAAAUGGGUUUGGAAGUGCACCUUCCUGUUCAAUGUUUUGGGAGAGUUUGGGAAGGAUUAAUGUAAACUCC